UGCGUAGGCGGGGGAUUAAGUCAGUGGUGAAAUCCUACAGCUUAACUGUAGAACUGCCAUUGAUACUGGUUUUCUUGAGUAUAGUUGAAGUGGGCGGAAUGUGUAUUGUAGCGGUGAAAUGCUUAGAUAUUACACAGAACACCUAUUGCGAAGGCAGCUCACUAAACUAAUACUGACGCUGAGGCACGAAAGCGUGGGUAGCGAACAGGAUUAGAUACCCUGGUAGUCC
Molecule: ribosomal RNA, 229 nt
Filed under: uncultured bacterium
Lineage: Bacteria
Description: partial 16S ribosomal RNA
Rfam family: Bacterial small subunit ribosomal RNA
Source: RNAcentral